UACUACCAAUCGAGAGAGUGCGUGGGAAACGCCGCCGAAGAGGCAAGUCCGGUUACUUAAGGAUGAAUCUUUCAGGCAAAAGGAUCGAUAGCGGUUA
This 97-nucleotide non-coding RNA is filed under the name Lachnospiraceae bacterium. RNAcentral describes it as "Glycine sequence". It matches the Rfam family "Glycine riboswitch aptamer". From Rfam's summary of the family: This family represents the bacterial glycine riboswitch. Glycine riboswitches usually consist of two metabolite-binding aptamers domains with similar structures in tandem. Lineage: Bacteria; Bacillati; Bacillota; Clostridia; Lachnospirales; Lachnospiraceae. The record is from RNAcentral.